RNAcentral lists this transfer RNA (72 nucleotides) under Camelus bactrianus (Bactrian camel). It matches the Rfam family "tRNA". Rfam says of the family: Transfer RNA (tRNA) molecules are approximately 80 nucleotides in length. Their secondary structure includes four short double-helical elements and three loops (D, anti-codon, and T loops). RNAcentral also lists the same sequence under 2 other names. The record is from Rfam by way of RNAcentral. Lineage: Eukaryota; Metazoa; Chordata; Mammalia; Artiodactyla; Camelidae.
GAAGGUAUAGCUCUGUGGUAGAGUGCAUGCUUAGCAUGCAUGAGGUCCUGGGUUCAAUUCCCAGUACCUCCA